RNAcentral lists this ribosomal RNA (467 nucleotides) under uncultured bacterium. RNAcentral describes it as "bacterial SSU rRNA". It matches the Rfam family "Bacterial small subunit ribosomal RNA", at positions 29 to 507 of the family's 1533-position model. The record is from RNAcentral.
AGUGAACGCUGGCGGCGUGCUUAACACAUGCAAGUCGAACGAGAACGGCUCUAGCUUGCUAGAGUGUCAGCUAAGUGGCGGACGGGUGAGUAAUGUAUAGCUAAUGUGCCCCUUAGAGAGGGAUAACAGUUGGAAACGACUGCUAAUACCUCAUACUCCUUCUAAACCUAAGUUUAGUCGGGAAACGUUUUUUCGCUAAGGGAUCGGGCUAUAUGGUAUCAGCUUGUUGGUGAGGUAACGGCUCACCAAGGCUAUGACGCCUAGCUGGUCUGAGAGGAUGAUCAGCCACACUGGAACUGAGACACGGUCCAGACUCCUACGGGAGGCAGCAGUGGGGAAUAUUGCACAAUGGGGGAAACCCUGAUGCAGCAACGCCGCGUGGAGGAUGACGCAUUUCGGUGUGUAAACUCCUUUUAUAUAGGAAGAUAAUGACGGUACUAUAUGAAUAAGCACCGGCUAACUCCGUG